RNAcentral lists this ribosomal RNA (253 nucleotides) under uncultured bacterium. RNAcentral's name for it is "partial 16S ribosomal RNA". It matches the Rfam family "Bacterial small subunit ribosomal RNA", at positions 524 to 776 of the family's 1533-position model. The record is from RNAcentral.
UACGUAGGGAGCAAGCGUUGUCCGGAAUCAUUGGGCGUAAAGCGCGCGUAGGUGGCCCCAUAAGUCCUCUGUGAAAGUCAAAGGCUCAACCUUUGAAAGCCGGUGGAUACUGUGGGACUAGAGUACGGAAGAGGCGAGUGGAAUUCCCGGUGUAGCGGUGAAAUGCGCAGAUAUCAGGAGGAACACCAAUAGCGAAGGCAGCUCGCUGGGACGUUACUGACACUGAGGCGCGAAAGCGUGGGGAGCGAACAGG